GUGUGUUUCUCGUGGUGACGGAGUGGAGAGAUUAGUGCAUGCGUGUUCAGGGGCGAAGACCAAGCCGCGCUGGCCUGGGAGUCUGGGGACGCGCCGCGCAGCCAACAGCGUUUGUGAUGGAUGUGACUUCACCGCUGUGCACGUGUCACAGUAAGAGAUCGACGGCUGGACACUGGCGAGGCGACUUAUCAGUGUUUACAAGGCAUGACUCGGGUUUAUGAUAUCCCAGCUUGGAGUAAUCUCGCCUGCUUUCCAUUUGCUCGGCAGGAAAAAAUUGAUUACGUGAAAUUUGCGUGACCUUGAGCAUAAACCAGCCGCCGCUACCCAGGCAGGCGGCAAGGCACAGUGAUAGAGAGCAAAUGUUGUUGGGCCAGACGUCCGUGGGAGAGAGGCCCGCUGUGGAGGUGAUGGGAAGGAGAAAAAGUUUAAUGCUGUGGCGCUACUUGGUCAGGCGAGAGCCCCAGCGCAGCGGGAGUCUGGCAGUCUGUCAGAUGGCGGCAGGAGACACCAGCUCUCCCUUCCAUUCUGACGCUCCAAACUCGUGUUACUUAUUGUGUCUCGAAAAACUUGGUGUGAUCAUUAUUUUUUCUUUAUCUUUGAAUUUAUUUUCAUUUAUUUUUCGGUAAUUACUUUCAUUAAUUUACGUAUCCAUUCUGUUUUGUAUUUUUACGUUUUGUAUAUUAGGGAAUAUAUGUGGCAUGAUAUUUACGAUGUUAUGUAUAUGUGAUAAAAUUAAGA
Long non-coding RNA from Portunus trituberculatus (swimming crab), 738 nucleotides. RefSeq lists it as uncharacterized. The transcript has 5 exons. The record is from RefSeq and is a predicted model, not a curated record. NCBI's taxonomy places the organism in Eukaryota, Metazoa, Arthropoda, Malacostraca, Decapoda, Portunidae.